Molecule: ribosomal RNA, 461 nt
Filed under: uncultured Gammaproteobacteria bacterium
Lineage: Bacteria; Pseudomonadati; Pseudomonadota; Gammaproteobacteria
Description: bacterial SSU rRNA
Rfam family: Bacterial small subunit ribosomal RNA
Source: RNAcentral
CGGUCAGACCUAACACGUCAGGGAAUUGACCUAACCCUGAGAAAAAGCACCGGCUAACUCUGUGCCAGCAGCCGCGGUAAUACAGAGGGUGCAAGCGUUAAUCGGAAUUACUGGGCGUAAAGCGUGCGUAGUCGGUUGUCUAAGUCGGGUGUGAAAUCCCAGGGCUCAACCUUGGAAUUGCAUUCGAUACUGGAUAGCUUGAGUUCGGCAGAGGGAAGUGGAAUUUCCGGUGUAGCGGUGAAAUGCGUAGAUAUCGGAAGGAACAUCAGUGGCGAAAGCGACUUCCUGGACCAGAACUGACGAUCAGGCACGAAAGCGUGGGGAGCAAACAGGAUUAGAUACCCUGGUAGUCCACGCCAUAAACGAUGACAACUAGACGUUGGGGGGUAAGCCUCUCAGUGUCGCAGCUAACGCGUUAAGUUGUCCGCCUGGGGAGUACGGCCGCAAGGUUGAAACUCAAA